GAGCAUAUGAUGUUAAAAAUAGAUCACUGAGAUCUUGUUCUUUGAUGUCUAAGAAAAUCGAGCUUUUUAAAACUGAUGUUUA
RNAcentral lists this small nucleolar RNA (82 nucleotides) under Oryza punctata. Lineage: Eukaryota; Viridiplantae; Streptophyta; Magnoliopsida; Poales; Poaceae. The record is from RNAcentral.